Molecule: long non-coding RNA, 3103 nt
Organism: Phyllostomus discolor (pale spear-nosed bat)
Lineage: Eukaryota; Metazoa; Chordata; Mammalia; Chiroptera; Phyllostomidae
Exons: 3
Source: RefSeq, a predicted model, not a curated record
AGUCUUUCCUGUGUGUGAUUCAGUACAUUUAGGGUGACCACACACCCUGUUUUGCCCACUGCUGCUCCAGUCCCAUCUGUUCUCUUGAUGUGAUUAUUAACAGCACUCCCUUUAUUCUCAAAAGUGUGACCAAUUAUAUGGUUGCCCAUUAUAUUCAGAGUCACUAGGAGAGAGAUGACAAAGUCACCAAUAAGAGGAUCCACAAAACUGAUUUUAGGGGGAAAAACAAGUCUUUUUUGAAUAUCCAUUGGUUGUCAAAUAGUUUAAAUAGUGGCUUCAGUAUAUAUUCAAAGAUAAAAAUGUACCUAUUCAAAGAUAAGACUGUACUUUUAAUUUUUUAAAUCCUCAUAACUAAGUUUAGCUUAUGGGCAGGACACAUAGUGGACCCUUUAAUAAAACCUUGCUCAGGGUUUUGUUGACUCAUCAAGACGGUCAAAUCAGUCUGCAUAGUUCCACAAGGACGUUGAAAGUUGAAUGUGACAAUAUGCAAGAGGUGCUUUUAGCUCUUGUAAGAAAGAAACUCCAGCAAUCUAAGAGAUUAUCAUUUCAACUGAAAGGCCAUCAAGCAACUUCCCACCAUUCCUUAUUUAUAGCCGUAGAAGCUUUUAGCAAUGCAAAAAUCAACAUCUUUAAUUAGGUCACCCAAGUUCUACAUUUAUGAAGGGAGCCAAUAUGUAAAGAAGAGCUGAUGGGAAUAGUAGCUGUGAAAAACCACAGGUGUCAUGUAACCAUAUGAAGGGAGAGGCCACAGCAGAGCAAAACCAGAGUGACUGACUCCCAGAGGGCUUCCAUUGCAGUCAAUUUGGAGCCUCAGUUUUCUCAUCUGUAAAAAGGAGAGGGUUGAAUCUGACACCCUCAGUUUUUGUCAAACUCCGACAUUUUAUACAACCAGGCUGAAAAAAUACUGAUAAAAAGUAUGUUAACUCAUGGAAAACUAACAGCAUUCAAUGAAGGUCAUUCUGAGAAUAACCCAUAGUUAGGGCAAUAUUUACUCCCAACAUUCCAGUGUAGGCAACCAAAUCAACAAAAUGUGACAUCUAAACCAGGUAAGCAAUCAGAGACUGUCAAAGAAGGAGCCAUGAAACAGUUCUUUUUAGAGCAAAUUAACUGCUGAAAGGCAUGAGAAAGAGACAGAGAAACAGACACUUCAGACCCUGACCUGUACAUCUGUGGGCAUCUGAUGGGGAAGUCUAGGGCAGUUCAUACCCAGAAUAAAGUAAACAGUAAAGUGAGCUUUCCUGCCAGUCUUGCUGACAAAACCGUACAGAUAAAACCACAAGGCUGUUAUUUAAAAGCACAUUGGUAUCACUACGUCUCACGACCUAGAAUGCAAGGUUUUAGAGUCCUCGGAAACCUCCAGAGUUCAGAUUUGGGAAGCACAAUAAGUGGCAUGUUGAGUCGGUCAAAUAUCUUUCAGAAAUAACAUGCUCAAUAUAUUAUUUUGAUUGUACUCACCAUGGGCAUUUUGUGAUUUCAAAAACAGCAUGGGAAUGAAAAUUUAAUGACUUUAAAAGGGUUCACGGGUUAAUAAAAGAAAAAGGGUGGAAAAAUACCAAUGACACCAAUCUUCACGCUCAGAGAAGCAGAGUGAUUUUUCUAAGGUCACCAAGUUAGUUGGUGGCUUAGAUGGAGAGCCAGACAGAAACCAAGAACUUCUGCAAGUGCACACAAUAGGUUAGCAUCACCCAAAUUCUUUCUGGGAAGAACAUAUUUGCAUAAGCAGUCAGACAAUGCGGUUCCUAGUGAGGAUCUUAGGCCUCAACUCUUCCAGGCACCCUUGUUUCUCUCUCUUUGGUGGCAGCCAGCACGCAGUUCAGAAGGCGGCCAGCACUAACAUGUCCUCCCUGGAUCCAGAGCCCCCGCCAGCAGUCCCCACCAGCAGCCCCUGCCAGCAGCAACCAGCUACAUCUUCCUCCACCUGCUGUUUCCUCCAAAAUCCAAUUCUAAAUGGCCAACUCAAUUGUAUGUUCAUGUAGUGAGUGCAGGCAGUGAACUAUUGAUAGCUAUUCAUAAAGUCCCUCAAAAUCCUGCUUGGACCAUUACUGAAUUAAACCAGCAUAUCAAGAAAUGAAGUUCAAACAAUGAGGCUGUCUGAAACACAACCAAGCAUGAGGCACACAGUUCUAUCAAAUUCUGCGUGUGGAGCUGUUCCUUAAUUCUGUGCUCAGUGUUCUUUUGAAAUAUGGGUAGCUUCUGCAAACACAACUCGUCAUUUCCAGGGUGCUGAGACUUGCUUUCGUGGCUCAGUUCCAAGACACAGGAGGCUUAAGAAACCAUUUAUCUUAAACAUUCUCCAAAUAAGCUGCUCUGCACAGUUAACUUGUGACUUGACUGCCCCACCACUAUAUGGUGGCACCAUUUCCAGUGGUGCCAAAGUUGUAAGAAUGACACCACAACCAUAACCCUCAGAAUAUGGACUUACUGGCAAUGUCACGUGGCACUUGUUUCCAGAAGCUCCAUCAGCAUUGAAAUCACAUCCUACGAUGUAAGAAGGGCCUGGAAGUGAGAUAUGCCAAGUUUCCCUGAAUAAAUCAAUCAUAUUCUCUCCUUUCUAUGUCCAUUAGGAAGAGCUGGGUGGUUUCACUUUGUUUCCAUGCCACAGGAUGGGCUAUGUCAUUUUGGAACCCACAUCUACCUGCAGUAAAUAUGCAUAAGCAAAGGAGAAACUCUAACAGGGAGUUUUCACUGUCUGGAAGGAGAAAGACAUGUCAUAAGUUGCCUUCCAUGUUGUGAAAAAAGCAAUUCAAUGCCAUUUCCUAAUCAAUCCCCAGGAAUAAGCACUGAUCUUUAUGUGGAGACUUCUAUAUGUUUUCCUGGAUAAUAACAACUUAACUAAAACAUUUCAUAGUUCAAAACUUCAGUAUUAAAAUCUGUCUACAAUUCAUUCCACUGCCAAAAAUCAACAAGAUUAAAGGGCCUCCAUAUUCAAAUGUGAAGUCAUGUGGUUUUGAAGUUAUGAUCCUGCAUCUUCAUGGUCUAUCAGAUCCAACUAAUGGACAAUCAGUUGCAAACAUUGAAACUUGAGGCAUUUUUCCCUUUUCCAAGCAGCCUACAUUCCGACCUGCUUCUCUAAAACACUAGGAAAAAGAAUGGAGGUGAAAGA